GACGAACGCUGGCGGCGUGCUUAACACAUGCAAGUCGAACGGAAAGGCCCUGCUUUUGUGGGGUGCUCGAGUGGCGAACGGGUGAGUAACACGUGAGUAACCUGCCCUUGACUUUGGGAUAACUUCAGGAAACUGGGGCUACACCCGGAUAGGAGCUCCUGCUGCAUGGUGGGGGUUGGAAAGUUUCGGCGGUUGGGGAUGGACUCGCGGCUUAUCAGCUUGUUGGUGGGGUAGUGGCUUACCAAGGCUUUGACGGGUAGCCGGCCUGAGAGGGUGACCGGCCACAUUGGGACUGAGAUACGGCCCAGACUCCUACGGGAGGCAGCAGUGGGGAAUAUUGCACAAUGGGCGGAAGCCUGAUGCAGCAACGCCGCGUGCGGGAUGACGGCCUUCGGGUUGUAAACCGCUUUCGCCUGUGACGAAGCGUGAGUGACGGUAAUGGGUAAAGAAGCACCGGCUAACUACGUG
This 468-nucleotide ribosomal RNA is filed under the name uncultured bacterium. RNAcentral's name for it is "partial 16S ribosomal RNA". It matches the Rfam family "Bacterial small subunit ribosomal RNA", at positions 28 to 507 of the family's 1533-position model. The record is from RNAcentral.